RNAcentral lists this unclassified non-coding RNA (331 nucleotides) under Coprinopsis urticicola. RNAcentral describes it as "partial internal transcribed spacer region". The stretch from base 1 to 46 matches the Rfam family "Eukaryotic small subunit ribosomal RNA", at positions 1786 to 1831 of the family's 1831-position model. The record is from RNAcentral. Lineage: Eukaryota; Fungi; Basidiomycota; Agaricomycetes; Agaricales; Psathyrellaceae.
AAGUCGUAACAAGGUUUCCGUAGGUGAACCUGCGGAAGGAUCAUUAUUGAAUAAAUCUGGCGUGAGGUUGUAGCUGGCUCUCUCUGGAGCAUGUGCACACCUUCGUCACCUUUAUCUUUCCACCUGUGCACACACUGUAGUCCUGGAUACCUCUCGCCGCAAGGCGGAUGCAGAGCCUGCUGUGACUUUGGCAACAAAGACCAGUCUUGCUCUGAAUUUCCAGGGUCUACGAUCUUUACACACCCCUAAACGAAUGUCAUAGAAUGUAUAUCACUGGGCCUUUGUGCCUAUAAACCUUAUACAACUUUCAACAACGGAUCUCUUGGCUCUC